GCCUUCUUAGCUCAGUGGUAGAGCCUGUGGUUUUUAACUACGUAGUCGUGGGUUCGUUACCCACAGACCGUA
This 72-nucleotide transfer RNA is filed under the name Ipomoea nil (Japanese morning glory). It matches the Rfam family "tRNA". Rfam says of the family: Transfer RNA (tRNA) molecules are approximately 80 nucleotides in length. The record is from Rfam by way of RNAcentral. Lineage: Eukaryota; Viridiplantae; Streptophyta; Magnoliopsida; Solanales; Convolvulaceae.